CAGCGACUGAAAAGAGCCACCCACAAUGUGCCCUGAGCAAACUGGGGGGCACCGUGCCACUUCCUGUCAGGGUGGGACCUGCGGGUUUCAGGCUCUGCUCUGAGGCGUGUGGCCCGGGGGACGCGGUGGAGGCGCCAGCUCGGCAGGUGGCUCUGCAGUCGGGCACAAGGUGGAUGUGGAAACUACGUCACUCCAGUCACAGCAACCGAGGGCCGUGCCUCAGGAGGCCUCUGACCGCAGUGAACGUAGGCAAAGAAGGGAGGGGAGGCACCGCAGCGAUGGGACAGCAGGGCGAGGCCUGGGGAGGUGGGAAGAUGCACUGUCUCUCCCCUCGCCUCCUCCUCCUCCUCCUCUUCUUUUGCGAUGCUAGGGGUGGAACCCAGGACCUCACGAGGGCUAAGCUCACAUCCCACCACUGAGCCACGCACCGGCCAGGACAGUCGCGGCAGGGUCCGGUGACGGACUUGGGAUGGGCGGAUCACAGAAGGCUGCUUCUGCCAGCCCGAGGAGGCCAAGGGGGACCCUCAGGGCAGCGGGUGAGUUGUCAGCAGGUACAGGCCUCGAAGGUCACUUUGGCAAGGAAAGGCGACGACUUCCGGUCUUCAGCUGCCCAAGUGGACAAGCCCCUUCGUGUACCCCAAAGCACCCUCUGAGCCAGCCCACAGCCUGGGCCAAACCAGCUAGUUUCUUGGAGAUUUUUUUUUCUUUUUUGCCAAUGAACCAGGAAAACAGAAGGCGGGAAGAGGAUCAAGGGAAUAUUCCGCAAGCUUUGUUUGUCUCCAGAUUCCCAGCAUCAGGGCUGGCCCCGAGGUCACUCGUAGGAUAGGAGGGCGACUGAGGUGACCACCAAUGGCAUGGGCUUGAGUAUUUACUGGGCCAGUACCUACUUCUCUCAGGAGGGGACACAGGGUGCGACUCUCUGGUCCAGCCCCAGGACCAGUGGCUACGCUUCCCCUUUGGGCUUUUCUGCCACGGACCUGCUGUGUGACCUUGGUACUGGAGAUGGAACCCAGGGAGCCCGAGCUACAUCCCCUGCCCUUUUCAUAGUCCGACGGGGUCUUCUAAGUAGCCUGGGCUGGCCUCAAACCGUCCACCCUCCUGCCUGAGGCUCCUGAGGAUCAGGGUGUGCAGGUGCGCACUCUCACGCCUGGCUCGAGCCAGGACUGUUGUCAACUCUGUUUUACAGGCAGGGAAACUGAGUCUCGAAGGGCUGCCUGGCUUGGCAGAGGGAAUGCUGCUGCGGUUGAAACGCACGCCUGGCCUUGAAACCCACUCCUCAUUGUGUUUCACCUGCCUACAGAUGAACCCGGCUCCAGAAUCUGGGGUAACCGUGCUCUACGAGGACCCAGGUCCCUCCUGGAGCGCGCAGCUCAGGUUGUCACCUCGGCCUGGGUGUAGACCGGACUCAGAUGGGUCAUUCAGGAAGCAGGAGCAGGGCCAUCCUGUGCCAACUCCGGCCUUCCUCUUAAAUUCGGAGCCCAGCCUGGUACCCAUGUCAUCAAUAAUCGCGCCCAAAAAUAGUUCACUGGGCCAGCCAGGGUGGAGUGCCGGGACGUCCUGUUCCCGUCGGCUCUGGCCAGAGUGACCGUGCACUUGGCCUUCCCUGUCUGAGGCUGCUGGAGGGGAGGGCUGAGCUCACCCUGCCUGAGGUUCAUUCGUGGGAACGCGCCAGGCUCUCAAGUACCAGCACCCCAGCCGUGAGCACCACACAGCUUCCGGAAUUAGCAGCUGGCAAGUGCUCCAAACCUCUCAGCAGCUCGGGAAAGACUGGAACAGGAAUGUGAUUGCGGAUGAGGAAGCAGCUCACGUGUGCCGGGGAGGACACAGUGAGAGCCCGGAAGAUCCAGGGCUGGGCAGGGUCCCCGGGGGAGCCUGGGAGCGGGGUCGCAGCACUAGAGCUCCCGCCUGAGGGUGGCAGAGGAAUUCCCGGCAGGUAGGGGCUCCUCCCUGGACCCUGGCAAUCCCGGCUUGAUGGCUGCUCACAAGGGGAGUGGGGAGGACCCUGGGACUUCGGGCUGGUUCCCCACGGUCGCAGCAGUGACACAGCUCACACUCGCACCCCUCCUGAGGCCAGCCCUGUCCUGCACCUGCGCUGACACACUGAGUCCUCGGGACCCUCAGAGAAGGCGCUAUCAUUUCUUUCGUCUGACAGAUGAGGCCCUGAGGCUGGAUCAGAACUGUAGGUCCCCCAACGUCACAGAGGCAGCCAGUGGCCGAGCCCGGGAUGCCCAACUCUCCCCUCCUCCCAGUGUGGGCCUCACGGAGCCACAUCAGUUCUGCAAGAACUCGUCUCCUCUCGCCAGGGUCCCUGGAUGCCCCGGUGAAGCCUCUGCCUUCCCUUUCACCAGGCUCCUCCCUGGGGAGCCUCUCCUGAGCCCUGCUCUGUUCUCCCAGCUCCUUCUCUAGCUCUGACCCCUCAGCCUUCGUCUUAUAAAUUCCUUGGAAGACACUGGGCCCACCAGAUAACCCGGUGCAGCUUCCUGUACCAAGGUCCUUCAUGUAGUCACAUCUGGAAGGUGCCUUUGCCACAGGUCCCAGAGGUUAGGGCACUGACACAUUUGGGGGUAAUAAUUCUCCCCAUCUCAGGAGCAGAGCGAGCUUCCAGCCUUCCUGGGAGCACCGGGCUGCGGCUGAUGGAGGAGGCCAGCAAGGUAUCAGGAGAGCUGAGGGUCCCAACAUUCUGGUUUUCAUAUGUCAUCAACUUUUAAAUGGUGGCAAAUAAAGCAAAAUUAAGAGAGGCACUUAAAUACACCACACACACACACACACACACACACACACACAGGUCAGGUGAGGCCCAUGGGCUGUGGGUCUGUGUUCGUCACUGACCAGGGAGAGAGGCGAGGGCUCACUUAACCCUGCCAGGGUCGGAGCAAGGGUGACAGGGAGGGCAACCCUGUGCCCGCUGUGCCAGGUGGAAGAUGCACAGGCAGGGUGUGAUCAAGAGGGGACCAGCACACUUCCACAGGAUGAAGGGAGGCUGUGUGGCUCUGGACCAGUUCCUGGCCUCUCUCUGCCUUUGCUCACAGAGGAGGGACUCUGCAGAGCUUUUGUGCUCAUUAUGGCCUGGCCCUGGGGGCUCAGAGGUCCCAAAGCAAAGCAAGCCCCUGACUCCAAAGGGACAGGGUCAGACCGUGGAAGUGAGGGGUCCUGGAGCUGUCUGGCUCUCCUCUACUGGCCUCUGCAGCCUGCACCUUGUCAUGAAGGAGCUGUGGCUCAUGAAUUUUGCUCAUUUACUGAGCGCUGACCAAAAGCCUCUGUGUUCAGUGCUGUUACAGCCUUGAGGCCAGGACACAGGGUUCACACAGUCAGGAAGGACAGAACUGGGGGAAAACCAUUGGCCCAGGACUCUUCUCUCGGCCUCUCUGCGUUGGCCUUGAGCAGAUCGGUGGCCAGUGAGGCCCUUGUAGACUGUGUGGCCCGAGGAGAGAUGUCACCUGGGUCCAUUCCCCGCCUUUCUGCACUCAUUGCCUGGCCAUCCUUGGUGUCCCCUCAUUCCUGGCCAGUUGUCCAAGGCUAGUGUCCAUCUUGAGCACCCACUGUGUAUCAGGCACAGCUCAUUUAACCCUUAACAACCCCGUGAGGCAGGUGUAAGAGCAGAUGAGGAAACCAAGGCUGGACAGGGCCGUCUCCUCCCCAGAGUCACACAGCCAGAGCCAGUGCCACCUCUGCCCCUGCUGCCGGUGGGGACAUAGUUCGGCUCCUCCUAGGGCUUCUCCCUCCUGCUGCCCGGCUGCUGCCUGAACAAAGCCCAGAGGAUUCCAUUUUCCUGGAAGUCCCCAGUUUGGAGGCUUCUUUUGGGGACCUGGCGGCUGGGUUCCUAAUGUGCUCAGAGGCCCGUUCCAAAUUGCUCCUCCCACCUCCAAACCCAGGGAGCUGUGGAGUGUUCAGCUUCCUCCUGCCGUGGGCACUUACUGUGGGAAAGGUGAGGAGGAGGCCAGCGAUGGGCACCGGUGGCGAGGCACAAGGAAGGCCUUAGGGUCCCAGGUGGCAAAGGCCAAGGGGGGCCUGGCCUGGAGGGGAAGCCGGCCAGGCAGAUGCAGCGGUCUUAUCAGAGCGUCAGUGGAAAUCGAAGCAGGCCCCGCUGUUUAUUAACUCUCCUACCUUUUUGACAGAGAGAGAUCAAAGGUGAAAUCCAGGCCUCUGUUCUGCACACCUCCUCCCUUCCUCCCUUCUUUUCCUUUCCUUUUGGAAGCCUGGGCACUAAAAGCCUUAAAUUCGAGAGAGGGGGUGCUUUUGUCCUUGCCAAGGUGACAGCAGAAACUUAGCCUCUGAUGUCCCGAGUCUUUGUAGAGCUUCGGCGUCAGAUACCCGAGAGAGUGGUGGCCAGACAGACGCAGGGGCUCACAGGCCAGAGGCCGUAGGGGUGGUGGGGACUGUGGCACCGGAGACCCGCAGAAACGCCCUGCUGCCCUGCGGAAAAGGAGGGCCCAGUGUGGCCAGGCUUUGGGGACAGCCCAGAAUUGCAGAUACUUUGUGUGGGAUCGCUGGUGAUACCUAUGUGCUAAAAGACAGGAGUCUGUUUUUACUCUUUGCUAAUGGUGUGCUGGGCUUGCAUCUUGGAUUAAAUAUUCUGUUUUCCCAGGGGGUUGCAAGGCCACCUUUGUCCUAAUUCUUCCUACUGGUGUCCUAUUGCAGACUUUUCUUUGUGACCUUGAAGAUUAUUUUGUCCAAUUAAAAAAAAAAAUCCUGUGAGUCACUACUUGAAAUUGAAUUAAGUUGAUCUCUGUUGGCAGAAUUGUCAUUUUAAGGAUGUGAAAUCCAUUCUGAGAGGGUAAGAAAGGAAGAUUUCAGGUUUGAGCCCAACCUAGACGACCUAGCAAU
Fukomys damarensis (Damara mole-rat) is the source of this 4824-nucleotide long non-coding RNA. RefSeq lists it as uncharacterized. The record is from RefSeq and is a predicted model, not a curated record. Lineage: Eukaryota; Metazoa; Chordata; Mammalia; Rodentia; Bathyergidae. The transcript has 3 exons.